This 495-nucleotide ribosomal RNA is filed under the name uncultured bacterium. Its description in RNAcentral is "partial 16S ribosomal RNA". It matches the Rfam family "Bacterial small subunit ribosomal RNA", at positions 28 to 507 of the family's 1533-position model. The record is from RNAcentral.
GACGAACGCUGGCGGCGUGCCUAAUACAUGCAAGUCGAACGCUGAAGGAGGAGCUUGCUUCUCUGGAUGAGUUGCGAACGGGUGAGUAACGCGUAGGUAACCUGCCUGGUAGCGGGGGAUAACUAUUGGAAACGAUAGCUAAUACCGCAUAAUAGUAGAUGUUGCAUGACAUUUGCUUAAAAGGUGCAAUUGCAUCACUACCAGAUGGACCUGCGUUGUAUUAGCUAGUUGGUGGGGUAACGGCUCACCAAGGCGACGAUACAUAGCCGACCUGAGAGGGGGGUCGGCCACACUGGGACUGAGACACGGCCCAGACUCCUACGGGAGGCAGCAGUAGGGAAUCUUCGGCAAUGGACGGAAGUCUGACCGAGCAACGCCGCGUGAGUGAAGAAGGUUUUCGGAUCGUAAAGCUCUGUUGUCAGAGAAGAACGAGUGUGAGAGUGGAAAGUUCACACUGUGACGGUAUCUUACCAGAAAGGGACGGCUAACUACGUG